RNAcentral lists this ribosomal RNA (495 nucleotides) under uncultured bacterium. RNAcentral describes it as "partial 16S ribosomal RNA". It matches the Rfam family "Bacterial small subunit ribosomal RNA", at positions 28 to 507 of the family's 1533-position model. The record is from RNAcentral.
GACGAACGCUGGCGGCGUGCCUAAUACAUGCAAGUAGAACGCUGAAGGAGGAGCUUGCUUCUCUGGAUGAGUUGCGAACGGGUGAGUAACGCGUAGGUAACCUGCCUGGUAGCGGGGGAUAACUAUUGGAAACGAUAGCUAAUACCGCAUAAUAGCAGUUGUUGCAUGACAACUGUUUGAAAGGUGCAAUUGCACCACUACCAGAUGGACCUGCGUUGUAUUAGCUAGUUGGUGGGGUAACGGCUCACCAAGGCGACGAUACAUAGCCGACCUGAGAGGGUGGAUCGGCCACCCGGGAAUGGGGACAGGCCCCAGAUUCCAAGGGGAGGAACCGUAAGGAAUUUUUCGGCAUGGGACGGAGUCUGGACGAACCAAGGCGGGUGGAGGGAGGAAGUUUUUCGGAUGUUAAAGUUUGUUUUUAGGGGAAGAAGGGUGUGGGGAUUGAAAAGUCAAACCGUGACGGUUUUUUAACAGAAAAGGACGGCUAACUUCGUG